Molecule: long non-coding RNA, 619 nt
Organism: Hibiscus syriacus
Lineage: Eukaryota; Viridiplantae; Streptophyta; Magnoliopsida; Malvales; Malvaceae
Exons: 4
Source: RefSeq, a predicted model, not a curated record
AGAGGGAUGGAAAAGUGGGUUAUCUUAGCUUUUAUCCAAAUGAAGCGAGUUUUAACUUCAACAGAUAACAGAGGGGGAGAAUGGUGGGAGAAAAGAGAAAACAUGGUGGGGGCUUCUUCUUUGCAACCAAGAUUCUUGUCUUCUUUUGUUGGUGAUCGUUUAGUUCAAUAAACUCAACCUCUUUCUCAGCUGUUUCAUUUCAACCCAGGUCGGAAGCAUGUGUCUAUGCAAUUAUCCAUAUCACUUUCUGGCUUAACCAAUCUCUUAUUUAAUUGAAGGAGCAACUUGGAUGACGUUCCAAACAGCAAGCGCAAACGUCUGAGACCUGGGAAGUUAUCUCCUCGUCAACCUGUUCCAGAUCAUAAAAAAAGGCCACCUUAUGUUAAAUCUCGGAUGGCGCCUGGGAUUGCUAGAGGUGCAGAAGUGCAUGAUCUAAAGGGCAUAGAACACAUGAGAGCUUCUGGAAGGCUUGCAGCUCAGGUUCUCAAUUAUGCUGGGACCUUAGUGAAGCCAGGCAUAACAACUGAUGAAAUUGACGAAGCAGUUCACUAAAUGAUUAUUAAUAAUGGAGCAUAUCUGUAGACACUAAUUUUCUUAAAAGAUAGAGCUAGCAAGAGUU